CAUACAUCAAUAUAUCAGCGGAAGUUCCCAUUGCGGCUGUGUCGAGAGCUCAAGAGAUCACGUUUUAGUCACAGUGGAUGAUAAUGCUUAAACGCCGAAGCGCGCAAACUGACUGAGAAAAGGCUGUACAGAAAAGGGUUGGUCUGGAGAUUGUAAAGCAGCAAAUGAUACCUGAUAUAGGAAAGCCAGAAGGUGUCUCUGGCGGUUUGCUUUACGAAACUUCUCAGAGCUGUCCUCCUUUACAGAGAGUUGAACACUUGAAACUUGAAUUUCCGGAACUGUCGAUGUUAAAAAAAAAAUCGGAAAUGUUGGAUUCCCUAUGAGGAUGGGUGGAUGGGGUGCAUCAAGUAGGGCAGGAAUUUCUACAUUGAAGUGCUGGGAAAUAGGCGCCUUCUGGUAAUUGACUUUGUCGAUGUACGGAUACGAGUAUUGCAAGAUCCCUGAAGCAAUAAGCGAAGGGUUCUGGAGAGGAUACCCUAAAUUCACGGUUUUGGCUGGUCUGCAUAGAUAGAAGUUAGACGGGAGAAAUUCGAUGGCAUUAUCCCACAUUUUAAAAAUAGGUCAUAUGUUCCAGAAAAUAACCAUUUGGGUUAGUAUUUCGUGGAAUGAACGAUCUGGUCUCGUAAGAGCAAAACCAAAAGCUGAUUGUAAUUUGAAACAAAAGCCAUAGAAAGCAGAGACAGAACAG
RNAcentral lists this small RNA (688 nucleotides) under Histoplasma capsulatum var. duboisii H88. Its description in RNAcentral is "Histoplasma capsulatum H88 hypothetical RNA". Lineage: Eukaryota; Fungi; Ascomycota; Eurotiomycetes; Onygenales; Ajellomycetaceae. The record is from RNAcentral.